AUAGUAUUGAUUAUCAACAUUAUUAUUCUGCCAGAUGUUCUCAAAUGUGGAGCAACAUAUCUCAGAGCAGCCCUGCCGCCCUUCCCCACUCUUCAGAUGCCAGUGUGAAAGCUUUUGGAUAAUCUCCUGAUGAGGAAAUAAUUUAAGAAUAAGGAGCCCGGAUUACUAUGCUGAUCCAGAUUCUUCCAGGAAGAAUAAUAAACAGCUUCCCAGCAGCUUAUGACUCCUUUGGAAAUUUAAUGUUUGACCUCCAUGUUGGGCUGGAACUGCACAUUUAUCCCACUUAGAAAUCUAACUGCUUGGUCUAACUGCUGAGAGAUGCAUCUAAAAGUGACUGAAAGACCCAGUGACUGAGUCCUUGGAAGGAGCCAUUUAAAAGCCCUGACAGACUCUAUUAAACACUGGUUGUAUAUGCAAAGAAAAGAA
This 426-nucleotide long non-coding RNA is filed under the name Ornithorhynchus anatinus (platypus). RNAcentral's name for it is "lncRNA (ENSOANG00000048429.1)". The record is from RNAcentral. Lineage: Eukaryota; Metazoa; Chordata; Mammalia; Monotremata; Ornithorhynchidae.